GCAUAUCAAUAAGCGAGAGGAAAAGAAACUAACAAGGAUUCCCCUAGUAACUGCGAGUGAAGCGGGAAAAGCUCAAAUUUAAAAUCCGUCCCCCGACGGAGUUGUAAUCUAGAGAAGUGUUUUCGGCCGUUGACUUGGACAAGUCCCCUGGAACAGGGCGUCAUAGAGGGUGAUAAUCCCGUACUUACCAAGAUCCCAACGUCUAUGUGAUACACUCUCGAAGAGUCGAGUUGUUUGGGAAUGCAGCUCAAAAUGGGUGGUAAAUUCCAUCUAAAGCUAAAUAUUGGCGAGAGACCGAUAGCGAACAAGUACCGUGAGGGAAAGAUGAAAAGCACUUUGGAAAGAGAGUUAAACAGUACGUGAAAUUGCUAAAAGGGAAGCGCUUGAAGUCAGUCGCGUUUAAUGAGACUCAGCCUCACGGUGUAUUUCUCUUGAACGGGCCAACAUCGAUUUUGGGCGCGGGAAAAGGGUUUGGGGAAGGUGGCAACCUCGGUUGUGUUAUAGCCCCUUACCGUACACCGCGCCUGGGAUCGAGGACCGCGGCUUUGCCUAGGAUGUUGGCGUAAUGGCUUUAAGCGACCCGUCUUGAAACACGGACCAAGGAGUCUAACAUGUCUGCGAGUGUUUGGGUGUCAAACCCAUGCGCGUAAUGAAAGUAAAUGUAGGUGGGAGGCUUCGGCCGCACCAUCGACCGAUCCGGAUCUCUUGUGAUGGAUUUGAGUAAGAGCAUAUAUGUUGGGACCCGAAAGAUGGUGAACUAUGCCUGAAUAGGGCGAAGCCAGAGGAAACUCUGGUGGAGGCUCGUAGCGAUUCUGACGUGCAAAUCGAUCGUCAAAUUUGGGUAUAGGGGCGAAAGACUAAUCGAACCAUCUAGUAGCUGGGUUCCUGCCGAG
RNAcentral lists this ribosomal RNA (893 nucleotides) under Calocera cornea. RNAcentral describes it as "LSU rRNA". It matches the Rfam family "Eukaryotic large subunit ribosomal RNA", at positions 38 to 965 of the family's 3401-position model. Lineage: Eukaryota; Fungi; Basidiomycota; Dacrymycetes; Dacrymycetales; Dacrymycetaceae. The record is from RNAcentral.